This 433-nucleotide ribosomal RNA is filed under the name uncultured bacterium. RNAcentral describes it as "partial 16S ribosomal RNA". It matches the Rfam family "Bacterial small subunit ribosomal RNA", at positions 29 to 507 of the family's 1533-position model. The record is from RNAcentral.
AACGAACGCUGGCGGCAUGCCUAACACAUGCAAGUCGAACGAGACCUUCGGGUCUAGUGGCGCACGCGUGCGUAACGCGUGGGAACCUGCCCUUAGGUUCGGAAUAACUCCCCGAAAGGGGUGCUAAUACCGGAUCAUGUCUUCGGACCAAAGAUUUAUCGCCUUUGGAUGGGCCCGCGUGGGAUUAGCUAGUUGGUAGGGUAAAAGCCUACCAAGGCGACGAUCCAUGGCUGGUUUGAGAGGAUGAUCAGCCACACUGGGACUGGGACACGGCCGAGACUCCUACGGGAGGCAGCAGUGGGGAAUAUUGGACAAUGGGCGGAAGGCUGAUCCAGCAAGGCCGCGUGAGUGAUGAAGGCCUUAGGGUUGUAAAGCUCGUUUACCCGGGAUGAUAAUGACAGUACCGGGAGAAUAAGCACCGGCUAACUCCGUG